Pelobates cultripes (western spadefoot toad) is the source of this 229-nucleotide non-coding RNA. The record is from the annotation of a GenBank genome assembly. NCBI's taxonomy places the organism in Eukaryota, Metazoa, Chordata, Amphibia, Anura, Pelobatidae.
CUCAUAAGAGAAUUAUAUUACUGAUGUAUAUGUUCUUUGGUAAAACAUCAGAAAAGAGCACGAUCUCUUUCUAUUUUAUGUGGAUUAUUCAUUUCUGUUUUAUCUUUAUUCCAUUAUAUAAAAGUAGAAUCUGUAUCUUCCCCUAAAUGCUAUAUAAAAAUUAUUUUUGUUAUUCUAUGUAAUAUCAUAAUCCUGAUAAACUGGGUAAAUACCAAACAUCUAAAACCUG